RNAcentral lists this ribosomal RNA (747 nucleotides) under uncultured bacterium. RNAcentral describes it as "bacterial SSU rRNA". It matches the Rfam family "Bacterial small subunit ribosomal RNA", at positions 1 to 752 of the family's 1533-position model. The record is from RNAcentral.
UUAGAGUUUGAUCCUGGCUCAGGAUGAACGCUAGCGGGAGGCCUAACACAUGCAAGCCGAGCGGUAGAGAUCUUUCGGGAUCUUGAGAGCGGCGUACGGGUGCGGAACACGUGUGCAACCUGCCUUUAUCUGGGGGAUAGCCUUUCGAAAGGAAGAUUAAUACCCCAUAAUAUACUGGAUGGCAUCAUUCGGUAUUGAAAACUCCGGUGGAUAGAGAUGGGCACGCGCAAGAUUAGAUAGUUGGUGAGGUAACGGCUCACCAAGUCUGCGAUCUUUAGGGGGCCUGAGAGGGUGAUCCCCCACACUGGUACUGAGACACGGACCAGACUCCUACGGGAGGCAGCAGUGAGGAAUAUUGGACAAUGGGUGAGAGCCUGAUCCAGCCAUCCCGCGUGAAGGACGACGGCCCUAUGGGUUGUAAACUUCUUUUGUAUAGGGAUAAACCUACCCUCGUGAGGGUAGCUGAAGGUACUAUACGAAUAAGCACCGGCUAACUCCGUGCCAGCAGCCGCGGUAAUACGGAGGGUGCAAGCGUUAUCCGGAUUUAUUGGGUUUAAAGGGUCCGUAGGCGGAUCUGUAAGUCAGUGGUGAAAUCUCACAGCUUAACUGUGAAACUGCCAUUGAUACUGCAGGUCUUGAGUGUUGUUGAAGUAGCUGGAAUAAGUAGUGUAGCGGUGAAAUGCAUAGAUAUUACUUAGAAACACCAAUUGCGAAGGCAGGUUACUAAGCAACAACUGACGCUGAUUG